UGGCGGACGGGUGAGUAAUGUCUGGGAAACUGCCCGAUGGAGGGGGAUAACUACUGGAAACGGUAGCUAAUACCGCAUAACGUCGCAAGACCAAAGAGGGGGACCUUCGGGCCUCUUGCCAUCGGAUGUGCCCAGAUGGGAUUAGCUAGUAGGUGGGGUAACGGCUCACCUAGGCGACGAUCCCUAGCUGGUCUGAGAGGAUGACCAGCCACACUGGACUGAGACACGGCCAG
RNAcentral lists this ribosomal RNA (233 nucleotides) under uncultured bacterium. RNAcentral's name for it is "partial 16S ribosomal RNA". It matches the Rfam family "Bacterial small subunit ribosomal RNA", at positions 96 to 334 of the family's 1533-position model. The record is from RNAcentral.